Molecule: long non-coding RNA, 660 nt
Organism: Rosa rugosa (rugosa rose)
Lineage: Eukaryota; Viridiplantae; Streptophyta; Magnoliopsida; Rosales; Rosaceae
Exons: 3
Source: RefSeq, a predicted model, not a curated record
UAGAGGGAGAGAGAGAGAGAAAGAGAGAGAGGGGGAAAGGGAAAGAGAAAGAGAAAGAGAGCUCGAGAGAGAGAAUAGAGAGAGGUGGAGAGAGAGAACAGAUCUGGAUCGGGUCAAUCAAGGAGAUGAAUUUGAAAAUCUCACUCAAAUAUGAAGUUUGAUUUGUAAGCCAGAGAGAAGAGAUCUAGAUCGGUAUCGAUAUUCGGAUCGAGAUUGAGAUCAAUCAAGGCGAUGAAUCUAAAGUUUUCAUGCAUACAUGAACGUUGAAUUAUAGAUCUAACACUUUGAGGUAUUUUAAUUUGUAUCCAGUGGAUGAGAUCAAGGCUGCUAUUGAGGUUUCCAACACAUGGAUGAGGUUGUUCAAUAUGGUUUUUGGGGUCGACCUAGUGGGACAACUGAAUUUUGAAAUUUCAUUAUUUUGAGUCAAUUUGUGAGGAACUUGUAGUAGUUUACUUACCUUUUUAUAAUAAAUGGAACCUUGAUAUUGUCAUUUCUAUAGAAGCUUAAUUUUAAUUACAAUUAGAGCUUUGAUUAUACUUAUUCAAAUUCCUUUUUUUGUUAUUGUUUUUAGUAAGUAUACUGACGGUCAGUAACAAUGUUAGUAAGUAUACUGACGGUCAGUAAUAACAUUAGUGAACAUAGUGAGAGUGACUAUCCAUG